UGCGGGGUCGUCUAGCGGCUAGGACGCUGGCCUCAUAAGCCAGAGAUCGAGGGUUCGAGUCCCUCCCCCGCUACCA
This 76-nucleotide transfer RNA is filed under the name marine sediment metagenome. Its description in RNAcentral is "tRNA-Met". It matches the Rfam family "tRNA". From Rfam's summary of the family: Transfer RNA (tRNA) molecules are approximately 80 nucleotides in length. Their secondary structure includes four short double-helical elements and three loops (D, anti-codon, and T loops). The record is from RNAcentral.